Lactuca sativa (garden lettuce) is the source of this 829-nucleotide long non-coding RNA. RefSeq lists it as uncharacterized. The record is from RefSeq and is a predicted model, not a curated record. NCBI's taxonomy places the organism in Eukaryota, Viridiplantae, Streptophyta, Magnoliopsida, Asterales, Asteraceae.
UUCAUAUUAUAUUAUCAGUAUAUAAAAUUAAUGUUAUCAAAGCCCAAACUGAAAGAAGGCGCCGGCUUAGGUCAGAUUUAUUUCAUGACUUCCUCCCACAUUGGUGCAGAUUAAAAAUGAGAGCAGCUAUAUAAGGAGUCGAGAGAGAAGAAGAAGCACGACCUUACUUGAACAGGAUCUGUUCUAUAGGCUCGUACCUCUGUAUUCUUGAUUCCUAAGAAGACAGAAACCCAUGUCUGGUUGAUGAACCACGACCAUGUAACCAGAGCGUGAUUAACAGAACUUCAUGGUCUCGGCCAUGGCUCGGUAGAUGAUCGUUGCCAAUCCAUCUAAUGGUCCUGGCAUGGCUACAUGGUUGUCUGACAGACAAUCUCAACUUUUUUUUUUUUGGUUCUAUUUCUCCAUGAUUCCUCAUUACAGUUGACAUAAAUUUCGUUCUUUCAUUUGUAUCCAGUAUCAAUCCAUCUCCCUCGUUUGUUAUUUUAGUUAUUGUUAUAUGGAAGGUGCUGAAGUUAUAUAGAAAUGUGUCCAAAUUAGAGCUGCAGACCAAGUGUUUGAUGAAAUGCCUGAAGGAGAUUGCCUUUUCUUUUUUGCCUUCUUCUACAGUCAGGAAGGAUGAUAAUCUGUAUGUUGCUGGGCUUUUUUAUGAUUCAUGGCCUCAUGUGAUUGUCAAGAAUGGGGGAAUUCUUGAGUCAUUGAAUUUGUUUAGGAAGAUACAAUGGAAGGGUGUAAAUUGUAAUCCGUUACAAACAAUGUGACACUAUGUGCUGAGUUUUUUUGGUACAUAUUAUAAUUGGACUGGUUUAUCAAGAUGAUGCUUUUAAAAAUC